GACGAACGCUGGCGGCGUGCUUAACACAUGCAAGUCGAACGGAAAGGCUCCAGCUUGCUGGAGUACUCGAGUGGCGAACGGGUGAGUAACACGUGGGUAAUCUGCCCUGCACUCUGGGAUAAGCCUGGGAAACUGGGUCUAAUACUGGAUAUGACCUUUCUCCUUAUGGGGUUUGGUGGAAAGUUUUUCGGUGUAGGAUGAGCCCGCGGCCUAUCAGCUUGUUGGUGGGGUGAUGGCCUACCAAGGCGACGACGGGUAGCCGGCCUGAGAGGGUGAUCGGCCACAUUGGGACUGAGAUACGGCCCAGACUCCUACGGGAGGCAGCAGUGGGGAAUAUUGCACAAUGGGCGGAAGCCUGAUGCAGCGACGCCGCGUGAGGGAUGACGGCCUUCGGGUUGUAAACCUCUUUCAGCAGGGACGAAGCGUAAGUGACGGUACCUGCAGAGGAAGCACCGGCUAACUAUGUG
RNAcentral lists this ribosomal RNA (467 nucleotides) under uncultured bacterium. Its description in RNAcentral is "partial 16S ribosomal RNA". It matches the Rfam family "Bacterial small subunit ribosomal RNA", at positions 28 to 507 of the family's 1533-position model. The record is from RNAcentral.